Ostrea edulis (European flat oyster) is the source of this 2019-nucleotide long non-coding RNA. RefSeq lists it as uncharacterized. The record is from RefSeq and is a predicted model, not a curated record. The transcript has 4 exons. NCBI's taxonomy places the organism in Eukaryota, Metazoa, Mollusca, Bivalvia, Ostreida, Ostreidae.
AUAAUAAGUAAACAUGGUCUUUCCGGAAUUUCCUUCCGCCAUCUUGGGAUGAUAGUAACGAUCGUUACAUGUACUAUCAUCAGUUUAAUACCAGUAAAUGUUGUAGCACAAGAGUUUAAAGCUUUUCUUUCAAAAUUGUUAAUAUUUUCCGUGAGGACUAAAGAUAGGGGCUUGGUACAACAAUAAAUAGAUCCUGUGUAGUAUCUCUGUUUGAUGGGGUUUUGUGAAGUUUUGGAAUCCAGUAUAGUCUAUCGGCUGGCAUAAGGUUCAACAAAAUUCAUGAUAGAGAUGAAGUUCUGUCGCCAAUUGAAAGACCGAGGCACUUUGAAUAUCGGAACUUUUAAAAUAAGAGAAUUCAGGUACUGUAGUCCUUUUCAUCUAUAUCAACAUCACCAGUAAUGACAUUUCCAGCUGGACUAUAGUUAAAAGAACAAGAACAUGUGGAUUUUGUAUGCGAUGGUCACUGUAAAGUUUGUUCGUAUUUGGAUGCAAUGGUGGAAGUGUAUAGGUAUAAAAUACAGAGUAUAGACUUGAACUUAAAGUAGGACGGAAUGUUGGCGGUAUCUAUACUUUUGUUUUCAGUGAACAGACGGUGUGAUUCGGUGGGAUUAUUAUCCGAAAAGUGCAUUGGUUUAAAGGGCCUGUGACAUCCAUAAUCUGUACUCUGGCGUGGAAAAAUACAUGUGUGGACUAGCUUUAGCUUCUUUAAUUAUCCCUUUCAAAUCUUGCGAAAAACCAGAGUAAAAGUUUUGUGCGAAUACGAUGUACACCUAAUUGUCUAUUGAUAUUAAAAAAGUGAGAUAUAUAGUAGGGGUUGUUUUUUUGUUGGUAUGGACGCUUCCUCUUAUAGACAAUACGGCAAUACAGUUUUUAUAACAUAUCGAAUAUAAUGUUUCCAAAGUAUCCAAACUUCAGUUAGAAAGAAAUGAAUAAAUAUUUCAUAGAAACUUGUUUACCCGAUUCACAAAUUGGAGAAAUAGGCGGAAAUACAAAUUUUUGUGUUGCGCUGGUGAACCCGGUAAAACGAUAAUCUUAUCUGUUCGUACUGACUCAUGAUCAGCAAUGAUAAAAAGUACUAUCUUACUGUUACAUGCAUAUCUGAUAUUUCAUCUCUGAGGACUUAACACCCCAUAGAAAAUUCACCAUGGGAAAAUUCCUGUAUGUUAUUGCCGUUCUUUUGGUCUUGAAUUUCAUCAGUUAUGAAGCAACAACAACACUACCAUCACCAACAACACCUCAAAAUACAUCAUCAGUGGUUUCAAUGACGUCUGGAUCAAAUACGACACCCACACCGUCAACCACCACAAAAGCGGGAAGCGGAGCACCCACCGUAACCGCCGGCGUUCUCACGAUCUUCAUCCAUUUAUUUGUCUGUCGGGAAAUGUCGGUUUACUGGGUAUAAUAGAGACGGUGUAUUGUUGAAAAUACAUUUGUGAUGAUAAAGAUUGAUUUUAUUUCAAAUCUAUUAAGUUUGAAAAGAUGAUAGGGAAAUCAUAUUGCCCGGCAAAAGUAGCGAUAAAUACUUUAUAUCAUAUUGUUAUGUAAUAUCAAUAAUAAUGUUACCUUUCACAUUAUGUAAUAUCAAUAAUGUUACCUUUCACAUUAUGUAAUAUCAAUAAUGUUACCUUUCACAUUAUGUAAUAUCAAUAAUGUUACCUUUCACAUUAUGUAAUAUCAAUAAUGUUACUUUUCACAUUAUGUAAUAUCAAUAAUGUUACCUUUCACAUUAUGUAAUAUCAAUAAUGUUACCUUUCACAUUAUGUAAUAUCAAUAAUGUUACCUUUCACAUUAUGUAAUAUCAAUAAUGUUACCUUUCACACUAUGUAAUAUCAAUAAUGUUACCUUUCACACUAUGUAAUAUCAAUAAUGUUACCUUUCACACUAUGUAAUAUCAAUAAUGUUACUUUUCACAUUAUGUAAUAUCAAUAAUGUUACUUUUCACAUUAUGUAUUAUUAAUCAUAUUCACCUUUCACGUUGUUAUGUAACAUCAGUACGGUAUUAAACUCGUCAGAACUCGC